UGGGGAAUAUUGCGCAAUGGGGGGAACCCUGACGCAGCCAUGCCGCGUGAAUGAAGAAGGCCUUAGGGUUGUAAAGUUCUUUCGGUAUUGAGGAAGGUUGAUGUGUUAAUAGCACGUCAAAUUGACGUUAAAUACAGAAGAAGCACCGGCUAACUCCGUGCCAGCAGCCGCGGUAAUACGGAGGGUGCGAGCGUUAAUCGGAAUAACUGGGCGUAAAGGGCACGCAGGCGGUUAUUUAAGUGAGGUGUGAAAGCCCCGGGCUUAACCUGGGAAUUGCAUUUCAGACUGGGUAACUAGAGUACUUUAGGGAGGGGUAGAAUUCCACGUGUAGCGGUGAAAUGCGUAGAGAUGUGGAGGAAUAUCGAAGGCGAAGGCAGCCCCUUGGGAAUGUACUGACGCUCAUGUGCGAAAGCGUGGGGAGCAAACAGGAUUAGAUACCCUGGUAGUCCACGCUGUAAACGCUGUCGAUUUGGGGGUUGGGGUUUAACUCUGGCGCCCGUAGCUAACGUGAUAAAUCGACCGCCUGGGGAGUACGGCCGCAAGGUUA
This 547-nucleotide ribosomal RNA is filed under the name uncultured bacterium. RNAcentral's name for it is "bacterial SSU rRNA". It matches the Rfam family "Bacterial small subunit ribosomal RNA", at positions 355 to 896 of the family's 1533-position model. The record is from RNAcentral.